CCAACCUCCUCCACACUAUCACACAGAAAGUGUAGAUAGGGCGUUACCCAAAGUGUUCAAUAUUGAAAAAGAGGAAGGUGAGUAAUGUUCCCUACUAGAAAGGAGAGGGGGGGCUGGUGCCAGCCCCCGCGGUAAAACCAGCUCUUCAAGUGGUCGGGAUAAUUAUUGGGCUUAAAGUGUCCGUACCCGGUUUAUUAAGUCUCUGGUAAAUUCGGGUAGCUUAACUAUCUAUAAGGGAGAGAAUCCUGCUAUUCUGGGGGGCGGGGAAGUUUUUAUUUUUUUUGUUUUUGGGUAAACUUUAUCCUUGGAGAGACCCCCCCGGCCAAGGGGUCAAAAUGGAAACGGCCGGACCGGGAGGGAAAACCCCGGGGAGCGACCCGAAUUAAAUACCCGGGUAGUCCUGGUUGAAACAAUGCAUUCUAGGGGAGGGCACGGACAUGAGCCGUGUCAGUGCCGGAGGGAAACCGUUAAGUGUCCCCCCUGGAAAGUACGGGCGCGAGGCUAAAACUUAAGGGAAUUGCCGGGGGAAAGGCCCAAUCCUUUUAAACUUGCAGGACUAGUCCCUUUAUGGAGGGGUUAUUCUUGAGCCUUGCGGAACCUUGGCCAUAGUUGUUUCCAGA
RNAcentral lists this ribosomal RNA (620 nucleotides) under uncultured crenarchaeote. Its description in RNAcentral is "partial 16S ribosomal RNA". It matches the Rfam family "Archaeal small subunit ribosomal RNA", at positions 335 to 982 of the family's 1478-position model. Lineage: Archaea; Thermoproteati; Thermoproteota. The record is from RNAcentral.